This 437-nucleotide ribosomal RNA is filed under the name uncultured beta proteobacterium. RNAcentral's name for it is "bacterial SSU rRNA". It matches the Rfam family "Bacterial small subunit ribosomal RNA", at positions 199 to 632 of the family's 1533-position model. Lineage: Bacteria; Pseudomonadati; Pseudomonadota; Betaproteobacteria. The record is from RNAcentral.
AUCGAAAGACCUUGCGCUUUGGGAGCGGCCGAUGUCUGAUUAGCUAGUUGGUGGGGUAAAGGCCUACCAAGGCGACGAUCAGUAGUUGGUCUGAGAGGACGACCAGCCACACUGGGACUGAGACACGGCCCAGACUCCUACGGGAGGCAGCAGUGGGGAAUUUUGGACAAUGGGCGCNNNNNGGAUCCAGCAAUGCCGCGUGAGUGAAGAAGGCUUCGGGUUGUAAAGCUCUUUCAGUCGAGAAGAAAAAGCUGCAGUGAAUAACUGUAGUUCAUGACGGUAUCGACAGAAGAAGCACCGGCUAACUACGUGCCAGCAGCCGCGGUAAUACGUAGGGUGCGAGCGUUAAUCGGAAUUACUGGGCGUAAAGGGUGCGCAGGCGGCUUUGUAAGUCAGAUGUGAAAUCCCCGGGCUUAACCUGGGAAUUGCGUUUGAAA